RNAcentral lists this ribosomal RNA (250 nucleotides) under uncultured bacterium. RNAcentral's name for it is "partial 16S ribosomal RNA". It matches the Rfam family "Bacterial small subunit ribosomal RNA", at positions 524 to 773 of the family's 1533-position model. The record is from RNAcentral.
UACGGAGGGUGCAAGCGUUAUCCGGAUUUACUGGGUUUAAAGGGUGCGUAGGCGGCCCGAUAAGUCAGUGGUGAAAGCCCGCAGCUUAACUGCGGAAUUGCCAUUGAAACUGUCAGGCUUGAAUAUAGUUGAAGUGGGCGGAAUACAACAUGUAGCGGUGAAAUGCUUAGAUAUGUUGUAGAACACCAAUUGCGUAGGCAGCUCACUAAGCUAAUAUUGACGCUGAGGCACGAAAGCGUGGGGAUCGAAC